Molecule: ribosomal RNA, 464 nt
Filed under: Agama hispida
Lineage: Eukaryota; Metazoa; Chordata; Lepidosauria; Squamata; Agamidae
Description: Tropidurus hispidus partial 16S ribosomal RNA
Rfam family: Bacterial large subunit ribosomal RNA
Source: RNAcentral
UCGGAAUCGUGCGGGGUAGCGUAAUCAUUUGUCCUCUAAAUAAGGACCAGUAUGAACGGCUAAAUGAGGGCCAACCUGUCUCCCCUAACCUAUCAGUGAAACUGAUCUACCAGUACAAAAGCUGGUAUAAUACUAUAAGACGAGAAGACCCUGUGGAGCUUUAAAUUAAAAUAACGGUAACUUACAAACCCCCGUCACUGACCCUAAAUUUUAGUUGGGGCGACUUCGGAACAAAACCAAACUUCCGAGCAAAGACCUAAAUCUUAAAAAGACCAACAAGUCUCAAAGACCCAGUAAAACUGAUAAACGAACCAAGUUACCCCAGGGAUAACAGCGCAAUCUUCUUCAAGAGUCCAUAUCGACAAGAAGGUUUACGACCUCGAUGUUGGAUCAGGACACCCAAUUGGUGCAGCCGCUAUUAAAGGUUCGUUUGUUCAACGAUUAACAGUCCUACGUGAUCUGAG